This 107-nucleotide ribosomal RNA is filed under the name Eustrongylides sp. RT-2016. RNAcentral's name for it is "partial 18S ribosomal RNA". It matches the Rfam family "Eukaryotic small subunit ribosomal RNA", at positions 1726 to 1831 of the family's 1831-position model. The record is from RNAcentral. Lineage: Eukaryota; Metazoa; Nematoda; Enoplea; Dioctophymatida; Dioctophymatidae.
GUUGCGGAUUGGCUGUUGCUGUUGGGAAGUUGGCCGAACCCAACCAUCUAUAGGAAGUAAAAUUAGUAACAAGGUUUCCGUAGGUGAACCUGCGGAAGGAUCAUUAC